This 103-nucleotide non-coding RNA is filed under the name uncultured Pleomorphomonas sp. RNAcentral describes it as "Glycine". It matches the Rfam family "Glycine riboswitch aptamer". Rfam says of the family: This family represents the bacterial glycine riboswitch. Glycine riboswitches usually consist of two metabolite-binding aptamers domains with similar structures in tandem. Lineage: Bacteria; Pseudomonadati; Pseudomonadota; Alphaproteobacteria; Hyphomicrobiales; Pleomorphomonadaceae. The record is from RNAcentral.
ACGCUCUGGAAAGCAGGCGAGGCCCAGGCCUCGACUCACCGAAGGAGUAACCCGGACAGGGCGUCCGGGGAAAUCUCUCAGGUUACGUGACAGAGGGGGCGCG